This is a non-coding RNA of Paramarasmius palmivorus, 105 nucleotides long. The record is from the annotation of a GenBank genome assembly. NCBI's taxonomy places the organism in Eukaryota, Fungi, Basidiomycota, Agaricomycetes, Agaricales, Marasmiaceae.
GAUUCGAUGGCGUAGUCGGAUAUCGCAUCUGUGUUAUAUCGUAUUUCAUCGCUUCGGCUCAUGUUAUGCACAGAAGGUACCCCAGUUCGAGUCUGGGUCGAAUCA